CAGCAGCCGCGGGAAUACGUAGGUGGCAAGCGUUGUCCGGAAUUAUUGGGCGUAGAGGGCUCGCAGGCGGUUUCUUAAGUCUGAUGUGAAAGCCCCCGGCUCAACCGGGGAGGGUCAUUGGAAACUGGGAAACUUGAGUGCAGAAGAGGAGAGUGGAAUUCCACGUGUAGCGGUGAAAUGCGUAGAGAUGUGGAGGAACACCAGUGGCGAAGGCGACUCUCUGGUCUGUAACUGACGCUGAGGAGCGAAAGCGUGGGGAGCGAACAGGAUUAGAUACCCCUGUAGUCCCUGUCUCUUAUAU
Molecule: ribosomal RNA, 301 nt
Filed under: uncultured bacterium
Lineage: Bacteria
Description: partial 16S ribosomal RNA
Rfam family: Bacterial small subunit ribosomal RNA
Source: RNAcentral